This 464-nucleotide ribosomal RNA is filed under the name uncultured bacterium. Its description in RNAcentral is "partial 16S ribosomal RNA". It matches the Rfam family "Bacterial small subunit ribosomal RNA", at positions 28 to 507 of the family's 1533-position model. The record is from RNAcentral.
GACGAACGCUGGCGGCGUGCUUAACACAUGCAAGUCGAACGGUAAGGCCCUUUCGGGGGUACACGAGUGGCGAACGGGUGAGUAACACGUGGGUGAUCUGCCCUGCACUUUGGGAUAAGCCUGGGAAACCGGGUCUAAUACCGGAUAGGACUACGCGAUGCAUGUCGUGUGGUGGAAAGCUUUUGCGGUGUGGGAUGGGCCCGCGGCCUAUCAGCUUGUUGGUGGGGUGAUGGCCUACCAAGGCGACGACGGGUAGCCGGCCUGAGAGGGUGUCCGGCCACACUGGGACUGAGAUACGGCCCAGACUCCUACGGGAGGCAGCAGUGGGGAAUAUUGCACAAUGGGCGCAAGCCUGAUGCAGCGACGCCGCGUGGGGGAUGACGGCCUUCGGGUUGUAAACCCCUUUCAGCACAGACGAAGCGUAAGUGACGGUAUGUGCAGAAGAAGCACCGGCCAACUACGUG